This 543-nucleotide ribosomal RNA is filed under the name uncultured bacterium. RNAcentral's name for it is "partial 16S ribosomal RNA". It matches the Rfam family "Bacterial small subunit ribosomal RNA", at positions 355 to 888 of the family's 1533-position model. The record is from RNAcentral.
UGGGGAAUUUUGGACAAUGGGCGAAAGCCUGAUCCAGCAAUGCCGCGUGUGUGAAGAAGGCCUUCGGGUUGUAAAGCACUUUUGUCCGGAAAGAAAUCCUUGGCUCUAAUACAGUCGGGGGAUGACGGUACCGGAAGAAUAGGCACCGGCUAACUACGUGCCAGCAGCCGCGGUAAUACGUAGGGUGCAAGCGUUAAUCGGAAUUACUGGGCGUAAAGCGUGCGCAGGCGGUUUGCUAAGACCGAUGUGAAAUCCCCGGGCUCAACCUGGGAACUGCAUUGGUGACUGGCAGGCUAGAGUAUGGCAGAGGGGGGUAGAAUUCCACGUGUAGCAGUGAAAUGCGUAGAGAUGUGGAGGAAUACCGAUGGCGAAGGCAGCCCCCUGGGCCAAUACUGACGCUCAUGCACGAAAGCGCGGGGAGCAAAACAGGAUUAGAUACCCUGGUAGUCCCACGCCCUAAAACGAUGUCAACUAGUUGUUGGGGAUUCAUUUCCUUAGUAACGUAGCUAACGCGUGAAGUUGACCGCCUGGGGAGUACGGUCG